GACGAACGCUGGCGGCGUGCUUAACACAUGCAAGUCGAGCGGAAAGGCCCUGCUUUUGUGGGGUGCUCGAGUGGCGAACGGGUGAGUAACACGUGAGUAACCUGCCCUUGACUUUGGGAUAACUUCAGGAAACUGGGGCUAAUACCGGAUAGGAGCUCCUGCUGCAUGGUGGGGGUUGGAAAGUUUCUGCGGUUGGGGAUGGACUCGCGGCUUAUCAGCUUGUUGGUGGGGUAGUGGCUUACCAAGGCUUUGACGGGUAGCCGGCCUGAGAGGGUGACCGGCCACAUUGGGACUGAGAUACGGCCCAGACUCCUACGGGAGGCAGCAGUGGGGAAUAUUGCACAAUGGGCGGAAGCCUGAUGCAGCAACGCCGCGUGCGGGAUGACGGCCUUCGGGUUGUAAACCGCUUUCGCCUGUGACGAAGCGUGAGUGACGGUAAUGGGUAAAGAAGCACCGGCUAACUACGUG
This 468-nucleotide ribosomal RNA is filed under the name uncultured bacterium. RNAcentral's name for it is "partial 16S ribosomal RNA". It matches the Rfam family "Bacterial small subunit ribosomal RNA", at positions 28 to 507 of the family's 1533-position model. The record is from RNAcentral.